CUAAGGAUGGUUCUUCAGAAGCUUGCUUCUAUCGAACCGUUUUAGAAACAUCAGUGGCCAACGGUCGUCAGGAUCGUUGAGCUGCAUUGGCGGGAUUUCGCCGUCUUCGUUUCUCUUUCUUCGCGGACGAACACGCGCUGGGGCUGCAACCUUGCAGAAUCCCUGGUCCUUGACUGGAUAUGCGUUAGGGGCUUGUAGCUCAGUUGGUUAGAGCGCGCGCUUGAUAAGCGUGAGGUCGGAAGUUCAAGUCUUCCCAGGCCCACCACACUCAUCGAGUGAGCAUUCGUCUUCUGGUUACGGGGCCAUAGCUCAGCUGGGAGAGCGCGUGCUUUGCAAGCAUGAGGUCGUCGGUUCGAUCCCGUCUGGCUCCACCAGAUGGUUUGAUCACCGGCUGCUCAUACCGUCGUCCGCGAAACAUCACUUCGCACUUACUAGUCCGGAUGGACAGUAAGCUGCGUGAUUUCUGACAUCGUAAAGAGGAGAUCGAUCCGAGUUGGAUCGGGCAACAAGUAAUUGUUGCGCGAUACUUCAUUAUCUCCGGAUCAUUUCGGCGCUCGUGCGUCUUCCAUUGUAGCUCACAAGGCUGCUUUGAAAGACAAGCGAGUUGUAAAUGAUCCUUUUAGCGAAGCUUGACCGCCUCGCUAUCGGAACGAUCUUACGAAGCAAGCUGGUCUUUCUAAUCAUUGUCCGGCUGCAGAUAGCGUUCAUCGAGGGCGCGUGCCGCAAGGUAGUUCUGCAGGCAACAUUCUGCCGAGUGUGUGGACAUUGAUAAUGAGAGC
This 779-nucleotide transfer RNA is filed under the name Bradyrhizobium japonicum. RNAcentral describes it as "16S-23S ribosomal RNA intergenic spacer". The stretch from base 189 to 262 matches the Rfam family "tRNA". Lineage: Bacteria; Pseudomonadati; Pseudomonadota; Alphaproteobacteria; Hyphomicrobiales; Nitrobacteraceae. The record is from RNAcentral. RNAcentral also lists the same sequence under 16 other names.